AACGAACGCUGGCGGCAUGCCUAACACAUGCAAGUCGAACGAGACCUUCGGGUCUAGUGGCGCACGGGUGCGUAACGCGUGGGAACCUGCCCUUAGGUUCGGAAUAACUCCCCGAAAGGGGUGCUAAUACCGGAUAAUGUCUUCGGACCAAAGAUUUAUCGCCUUUGGAUGGGCCCGCGUUGGAUUAGCUAGUUGGUAGGGUAAAAGCCUACCAAGGCGACGAUCCAUAGCUGGUCUGAGAGGAUGAUCAGCCACACUGGGACUGAGACACGGCCCAGACUCCUACGGGAGGCAGCAGUGGGGAAUAUUGGACAAGGGGCGAAAGCCUGAUCCAGCAAUGCCGCGUGAGUGAUGAAGGCCGGAGGGUUGUAAAGCUCUUUUACCCGGGAUGAUAAUGAGAGUACCGGGAGAAUAAGCUCCGGCUAACUCCG
This 431-nucleotide ribosomal RNA is filed under the name uncultured bacterium. Its description in RNAcentral is "partial 16S ribosomal RNA". It matches the Rfam family "Bacterial small subunit ribosomal RNA", at positions 29 to 505 of the family's 1533-position model. The record is from RNAcentral.